This 84-nucleotide transfer RNA is filed under the name Candidatus Magnetoglobus multicellularis str. Araruama. RNAcentral's name for it is "tRNA-Leu". It matches the Rfam family "tRNA". Rfam says of the family: Transfer RNA (tRNA) molecules are approximately 80 nucleotides in length. Their secondary structure includes four short double-helical elements and three loops (D, anti-codon, and T loops). Lineage: Bacteria; Pseudomonadati; Thermodesulfobacteriota; Desulfobacteria; Desulfobacterales; Desulfobacteraceae. The record is from RNAcentral.
GCCGAAGUGGUGGAAUUUGGUAGACACGCUAUCUUGAGGGGGUAGUGGACAUCGUCCGUGCCGGUUCAAGUCCGGCCUUCGGCA